CGUUCUGUAAGCCUGUGAAGGUGUGCUGUGAGGCAUGCUGGAGGUAUCAGAAGUGCGAAUGCUGACAUAAGUAACGAUAAAGCGGGUGAAAAGCCCGCUCGCCGGAAGACCAAGGGUUCCUGUCCAACGUUAAUCGGGGCAGGGUGAGUCGACCCCUAAGGCGAGGCCGAAAGGCGUAGUCGAUGGGAAACAGGUUAAUAUUCCUGUACUUGGUGUUACUGCGAAGGGGGGACGGAGAAGGCUAUGUUGGCCGGGCGACGGUUGUCCCGGUUUAAGCGUGUAGGCUGGUUUUCCAGGCAAAUCCGGAAAAUCAAGGCUGAGGCGUGAUGACGAGGCACUACGGUGCUGAAGCAACAAAUGCCCUGCUUCCAGGAAAAGCCUCUAAGCAUCAGGUAACAUCAAAUCGUACCCCAAACCGACACAGGUGGUCAGGUAGAGAAUACCAAGGCGCUUGAGAGAACUCGGGUGAA
This 470-nucleotide ribosomal RNA is filed under the name Escherichia coli. RNAcentral's name for it is "partial 23S ribosomal RNA". It matches the Rfam family "Bacterial large subunit ribosomal RNA", at positions 1237 to 1708 of the family's 2925-position model. Lineage: Bacteria; Pseudomonadati; Pseudomonadota; Gammaproteobacteria; Enterobacterales; Enterobacteriaceae. The record is from RNAcentral.